AAGGAAUAUUGGACAAUGGGGGAAACCCUGAUCCAGCCAUGCCGCGUGAGUGAAGAAGGCCUUCGGGUUGUAAAGCUCUUUUACCCCUGACGAUAAUGACGGUAAGGGGAGAACAAGCCACGGCUAACUUCGUGCCAGCAGCCGCGGUAAUACAAAGGUGGCAAGCGUUGUUCGGAUUUACUGGGCGUAAAGCGUGCGUAGGCGGUUUGACAAGUCAGGAGUGAAAGCCCAAGGCUCAACCUUGGAAUUGCUUUUGAAACUGUCUUACUUGAGUCCCGGAGAGGUUAACGGAAUUCCCAGUGUAGAGGUGAAAUUCGCAGAUAUUGGGAGGAACACCAGUGGCGUAAGCGGUUAACUGGACGGGUACUGACGCUGAGGUACGAAAGCAUGGGGAGCAAAC
This 400-nucleotide ribosomal RNA is filed under the name uncultured bacterium. RNAcentral's name for it is "bacterial SSU rRNA". It matches the Rfam family "Bacterial small subunit ribosomal RNA", at positions 356 to 773 of the family's 1533-position model. The record is from RNAcentral.